GUGAGGAAUAUUGCGCAAUGGAGGCAACUCUGACGCAGCCAUGCCGCGUGCAGGAAGAAGGCGCUACGCGUUGUAAACUGCUUUUAACCGGGAAGAAACCCCAGGACGUGUCCUGGGUUGACGGUACCGGAGGAAUAAGCACCGGCUAACUUCGUGCCAGCAGCCGCGGUAAUACGAAGGGUGCAAGCGUUAUCCGGAUUCAUUGGGUUUAAAGGGGGCGUAGGCGGAGCGUUAAGUCAGUGGUGAAAUCCUGCAGCUUAACUGUAGACUUGCCAUUGAUACUGGCGCGCUUGAGUGCGCUUGAAGUGGGCGGAAUGUGCCGUGUAGCGGUGAAAUGCUUAGAUAUGGCACAGAACACCAAUUGCGAAGGCAGCUCACUAAGGCGAUACUGACGCUGAGGCGCGAAAGCGUGGGGAUCGAACAGGAUUAGAAACCCUUGUAGUCC
Molecule: ribosomal RNA, 445 nt
Filed under: uncultured bacterium
Lineage: Bacteria
Description: partial 16S ribosomal RNA
Rfam family: Bacterial small subunit ribosomal RNA
Source: RNAcentral